RNAcentral lists this ribosomal RNA (373 nucleotides) under uncultured bacterium. RNAcentral's name for it is "bacterial SSU rRNA". It matches the Rfam family "Bacterial small subunit ribosomal RNA", at positions 606 to 975 of the family's 1533-position model. The record is from RNAcentral.
CGCUUAACGUGGAGGGGCCAUUCGAAACUGCUGUGACUCGAGUCCGGUAGGGGAGUGUGGAAUUCCCGGUGUAGCGGUGAAAUGCGCAGAUAUCGGGAGGAACACCAGUAGCGAAGGCGGCACUCUGGGCCGGUACUGACGCUGAGGAGCGAAAGCGUGGGGAGCGAACAGGAUUAGAUACCCUGGUAGUCCACGCCGUAAACGUUGGGCACUAGGUGUGGGACUCUAUCGACGGGUUCCGUGCCGUAGCUAACGCAUUAAGUGCCCCGCCUGGGGAGUACGGCCGCAAGGCUAAAACUCAAAGGAAUUGACGGGGGCCCGCACAAGCGGCGGAGCGUGUGGCUUAAUUCGAUGCAACGCGAAGAACCUUACC